Molecule: long non-coding RNA, 879 nt
Organism: Ochotona princeps (American pika)
Lineage: Eukaryota; Metazoa; Chordata; Mammalia; Lagomorpha; Ochotonidae
Exons: 3
Source: RefSeq, a predicted model, not a curated record
CUGAAUCAGGGAAGAACCCUAUUUAAUGUGCAAGAAGUAGACUUUAAGUCUUGUUUUCAUAUUAAAAAAAAAUAAAUAAAUGAGAUUGUCUAAGGAAAUGUAUAAAUAGAACAGGAACUUCUUUAUCACUGAGCUAAUCCAAAGAGGCGCCAGGGCCCUGAAAGAUCCCAAAGACAGGCUCCUUCUUACCCUCCUGUGUGACCACAAGCAACCUUUACCACCAAGAGCGCGGCCCUAGGGAGAUGGCUGCAAAAUCUUUCUGUGUCUCCUCUCCAUAAAAUCUGAUCUGCCGUCCCAAUAAAAAUAAAUCUCCUAAAAAAGAAAGAGGUGAGUACAUAUCUCCCACUGUUCGACUUUUACUCUUCUUCCCAGUUAAGUCUUAUCACUUCCCUCAAGAAGUAAAUGGAAGAAAGAAGGGGGAGUUUAUUUUUUCACUGCUUCCUUAAGACUUCCACUAACACCUGUCGCAGUAUCGUACCUUUCUUCUUUAUUUCCUCUGUUCUUUCUUUGCCCAGAUGACCCUGCACUGCGGUAAUCUUUUCCAUCAAGUCAACUCCACAAAUAUAGUUGGAGAAGUUUACCAGGGAGCGACAAUGACAAGACAUUAUCUUCUGAAAUCAGGUCAGCCGUGAAUGGAGGAUGAAGCCUGGAUUGACCGGCUGCUUAGGACUAUGCUUUACAAACUCAAGUUCAUAAAUGUAUGCUGCAUGUUUCUCCCUCCUUAUGCAUUUGGCAGAACCAUUUUCCUCAGCAACAAUAGUGACAGUUUGUAAUUAUUGAGUGGAAAGAUAUAUCUUCCAAAAUAGUAUUGCUCUGAAAAGGUUAGAAGCCUGCUGUUGCCUGAUCUACAGAGGAAACAAUUAAACAAAACAACAACAA